Molecule: ribosomal RNA, 499 nt
Filed under: uncultured bacterium
Lineage: Bacteria
Description: bacterial SSU rRNA
Rfam family: Bacterial small subunit ribosomal RNA
Source: RNAcentral
AGAGUUUGAUUCUGGCUCAGAACGAACGCUGGUGGCGUGUCUUAUACAUGCAAGUCGAGCGAGGCAGCAAUGCCGAGCGGCGAACGGGUGAGUAACGCGUAAGCAAUCUGCCCCAUAUCAGGAAAUACCCGUGCCAACGCGCGGUUAAUGUCCAGGAGAGUGGCCCUCCGCAUGGAGGGUUGACUAGAGAUUUAUCGGUAUGGGAUGAGCUUGCGUCCGAUUAGCUAGUUGGCGGGCAACGGCCCACCAAGGCGACGAUCGGUAGCCGGCCUGAGAGGGUGAUCGGCCACAUUGGGACUGAGAUACGGCCCAGACUCCUACGGGAGGCAGCAGUAGGGAAUAUUGCACAAUGGGGGAAACCCUGAUGCAGCAACGCCAACCGUGUGGGAAGAAGCAUUUCGGUGUGUAAACCACUGUCAUGAGGGAAUAAGGCCCGCCUUCGGACGGGAUUGAAUGUACCUUGAAAGGAAGCACCGGCAAACUUCGUGCCAGCCGCCGC